GCGUCAUGGUCGAAAACCCACCCCUUCCUUUCGUUGCGAUGGACCACAGAGUUAUGGUGUGACGUUGGGCUACCAAGACUGUGUGAAGGUGUGAUGCGCUGCUCACUCUCAGUGCGGUGUGCUGUCAAGGCUCCCAUCUGUGUAACAUGGUAGUGUAACGUAGCUCUGGUCGGAGCGCCAGCUGUUGCCGUCACAACUAUUAAAGACGCUAUCAUGACUUUCGUAUGUGCCAUCGUGAGUAUCAUGUCAUCGGAUCAGGGAGCUGAGUGCUUCCUGAGGCUGGGGGGAGUUCUUUUGCUGCACCUUAGGCUUUAUUAAAUUAAGGGUCGUUAAUAUUGCUGUGUUUAUUUGCAGUGAAUUUUGUGGGUAUGAUUCUGAUUAUUGUUUUUUUUUUCCCUUUUGUAUAGCUGGUGCUGUUGUACUAGCCUGCCCUUCAUACAAGAAGCCUCAGUCCUCCUAUGAUUAUUGUUAAUUUCCUUUUGUGGCUGUUUUAUUUGACCAAUGCCUGACUGCGUUGGGUGCUUUUUUAAAAAUAAUUCUUGGCCAGUCUUUUUAAUUCCAAAAAUAAAAUGUAUUUUUGUAUGGAAACCCAUGCCUCUUGCCUGUUCUAAGUGGAAUGUAUUUGUGUGUCUUUAUUUGGGUUAUUUUUCCCCGUUUUCUCGGGGUGGCAUAGCUGGUGCAAAGAAAAAAACGAACCACUUGCUACACGUGGCAUAGUUGUUACUCGCUGAGCCACAUUGCUACACGUGACGUAGUUGGCAGGAUUUCCACAGAAUAUUUGGCAGAGGCAGGGGACCACAUUUUUUUUGGUUCUUUAUGUGUUGUGGUCUGUCUUUUCUUUCCUUUUUUCUUUUUGUAGGAACCAAGCAGCAGCGUGUGCUCUGGAGACUGCAGUUGCUGGUCUGACUCCCUUGCGUGUCGUGGGUAGGUGUAUUCCAUCAUAAAUGGAGGGAGAAUUACAGGAACUUAAAGAGCUGGUGGCUCAACUUAGGGCUGACAGUGAGAGAUUCAGGGCAUCUGAAUCAUCAGGGGCUAGUGUUGCUGAACCUAGUGCCUCUGUUACAGUCGACGCCCCCAUAUUGCCACCAGUGACUGGCACUGCUACUCCAGUAACUGAUAGGUUGGUGUUCGUGCCUAGAGAUAGGAGGUGCCCAAAAUUUUGUGGUUGGUCAGUGGUGAGUUUUAAUGAAUGGGUUGAGGAAGCUACAGCAUGUAUGAGAACCUGUUAUUUAUCCCCUGCAGACCAGACCUUCUUUCUUUUUGAUCACUCUGAGGGAGAGGUGCAAGAUGAGAUGAUAUCGUUCAGCUGAGGAGUGUGGGGAACCUGAGAAAAUCAGUGGGGCACUGCGUGAGUUGUAUGGGUGCACAUUGUCAUAUGUGGCCUUACAGGAAGCUUUCUUCUCCCAGAAGCAGCAAGAGGGGGAAACGCUCUUGGAGUAUUCCCCCACCUUGAUGAGCCUCCUGGAGAAGGUUAAGCAACAGUCGCCAAAUGUUAUUGUGAAUGCUGAAACUGUGCUUCAUGAUCAAUUUAUUGAAUACUUGAAUGAUAGUACUUUGAGACGAGAGCUUAAACAGCUGGUGCGCCGACAGCCUAAUUCCCCUUUACUGGAGGUAUGGGGUGAAGCCCUUCGAUGGGAGUUGGAAGGCAGGACAGGGUGUGACGCUGGGCUACCGAGACUGUGUGCAUGGGUGGUGUGCUGCUCAUUCUCAGUGUGGUGUGCCGUCAAGGCUCCCAUCUGUCUAGCAUGGCAGUUUAACAUAGCCCCGGGCCGGCCUAGAGAUGGUGAUGGAGCUGUGCGAAAAAUGAGACGAGCCACAGCAGGACAACAUUCUAAUGUCCACCAUCUUCUACGAGCAGUGGAGAAUGUAAGGGACUAAUGCCAGUGCUUUGUAAUCCAUCGUCGGGGCGACGAAACAAAAGUAGGGGGUAGAAUGAAGUGGGGUGUGUGUCGUGGUUAAAACGUCACCCUAAUUAACUACGUGGCCAAUGAGCUAUCUUUCUACCACAGUAUAUAAGUAUUUGUUUAGGCCUCCCAGAAUGCGUCAUGGUCGAAAACCCACCCCUUCCCUUUGUUGCUAUGGACUACAGAGUUAUGUGUAUUUAGCUUUGUCGCUUAGCUGUUUGAUGCUAGUGUUGUCCAUUUACCAUGCGAUUUAAUUGUUUAGUGUGACGUUGGGCUACCAAGACUGUGUGAAGGUAUGAUGCACUGCUCACUCUCAGUGCGGUGUGCCGUCAAGGCUCCCAUCUGUGUAGCAUGGUAGUGUAACGCAGCUCUGGUCGGAGCGCCAGCUGUUUCCGUCACAACUAUUAAAGAAGCUAUCAUUUUUUUCGUAUGUGUCAUCGUGAGUAUCAUGUCAUCGGAUCAGGGUAGGUAAAUCGUUUAGUUUUAUUACUCGAGCUAAACUAUCUUGCAUGCUUUCCAAAUUGAGGUUGUAACACCUGUUUGUACUUGGGGUCCUCUAUUUUUCAUGUGUUAAGGCAGGCUGAGUGAGAUGUGGUAGUUUAGGUAUAGCUCCUCCCCCUCACUCGUGGAGCCACGUUGCUGUUUGGUGCUGCUUGAUUCGGUUUGGGUUUACUGCUUUGGGCUGUUUUAUUUUGUUAUUUUGUUUUUAUUUGUUUGUCACUAACAUCAGUUUUAUUGAAUUCAACUGUUGUAACAGUCUUUAUCAAUUAUGCUGAUACUGCUAUGUGGUAGUAGUGGUUUUAGUCAGUCUUGGUAAACUUGCUACUUGUAAUCAGUUUGAGCUUGGGGUUAUCUCUGUGUUUUUGUGACAGUAAGUUUGUCUUUGUUUUGUUUUAUUCUUUUGUGUGCCUGCUUUGAGCAUAUUGUAAUUUUUCUUGUGUUUUUGUUUUCUCCUUGUAGGAGCUGAGUGCUUCCUGAGGCUGGGGGGAGUUCUUUUGCUGCACCUUAGGCUUUACUUAAUUAAGGGUCAUUAUUAUUGCUGUGUUUAUUUGCAGUGAAUUUUGUGGGUAUGAUUCUGAUUAGUGGGAUGUUUUUCCCUUUUGUAUAGCUGGUACUGUCGUACUAGCCUGCCCUUCAUACAGGAAGCCUCAGUCCUCCUAUGAUUAUUGUUAAUUUCCUUUUGUGGCUGUUUUAUUUGACCAAUGCCUGACUGCAUUGGGUGCUUUUUUUAAAAAAAAUAAUUCUUGGCCAGUCUUUUUGACUCCAAAAAUAAAAUGUAUUUUUGUA
Molecule: long non-coding RNA, 3191 nt
Organism: Ictalurus punctatus (channel catfish)
Lineage: Eukaryota; Metazoa; Chordata; Actinopteri; Siluriformes; Ictaluridae
Exons: 3
Source: RefSeq, a predicted model, not a curated record